This is a long non-coding RNA of Anas platyrhynchos (mallard), 1646 nucleotides long. RefSeq lists it as uncharacterized. Lineage: Eukaryota; Metazoa; Chordata; Aves; Anseriformes; Anatidae. The record is from RefSeq and is a predicted model, not a curated record.
AGCCGGCGAGGAGAAGCCCCACCCCGCCCCGGCGGCAGACAAUGCGCGGCCGCCGCCCCGCUAGGGGGUGCCGAGCGCUGGCCCCGGCCCUUCGCGGCCGGCUGAGGGGGCCCGGCACCCUGCGGUAAACGAGGUGCCGCCAGGGGUGCUGCCCCUUUCUCGUUAAUUACUGAGGGCCCCUGUAAGGAGCCAGCCUGCGGGCGGGGUGUUGGACGCCAGCUGAUCGGGGUGAUCGCAGCUGAUAACCUCUCAUCUUGACCCAAUCCUGGAUGCACAUCCUGAAACUACAUGAUGCCAAGACUAAAAUAAUUCAAGCACAAAUGUGCAAGCUGGAAAGGAAUCCGAAGAAAACCAGCCGGGACUCGUCUUGCUUUCAGUCUAACUGCCCUAGGUCAAGUUGCUGUCAGUCUUAAAUCUCCUGCUGAAGACAUCAUUUUUGGGCAACGUAAUUGCUCAUAAUAAAAAAUAGUAUCUACAAACUUCAUCCUAACAAUAAUCUUGCUCUUGUUAUUUGCAGAAUGAUUGACUAUUACUAUAUCUCAAUCCAAGUAUGAGAACUGUAUCUAACAGAGGCUCCAACUGCUUGGUUUCUCCCUUUAAAACAGUUUGCAAAAGCACCACUGCUUUCCCUGUAGCUGCCAGUCAACAUCUGCUGUAGGACUUGCCCUCAGCGUCCCAGUUGGAGCACAUCUGUGGUACUGACCUCAUCCCUGGCCUCCGCUGAGUCACAAAGCUGUCCCUCUCUCAGAGAACACAACCCAUCGGACGUAUGAGAGCUGAAGAUAAAGAAUUGUCCAUGUCUCCUCCACUGAGGGAUUUGCUAGGAUAGACUCUGAGAUGAAUAAUUUUGUUUGAAGUUAUACUGGAAGUUCAGAGUUGUAGUUAGUGGCCUGUGCCAUGCAAACUGCCAGUAAAAAGAACUCACAGUGUAUUUUUGUAUCAAGGAUCAAUCUGAUCAAAACAAGCCUGCAUAUAUGUUAUAAUUUUCCAGCAGCCAUGCCAGAUUUACUCAACUAUGAAUAGAAGUAAAUAGGCUGAAAACAUCCUGAGCCUUGGGAGCUGUGCUGUGUGCCAGCACAACAGAGCCUUUGUUACAGGCAGAGCCGUGCUCUCACAAUGGAGUUACUGCUUCCAGCUUCAGCUGCUGCACUUCCAGAAAAAUCAGUCAUCAAAGAAAACCAAACCAACCCCCACACACACUUCUAGUGGGCAGCAGCUCCUCACCAUGACACUGGUCCCAGGUGCCACCAGGUGUGAUGGUGGCCAUCCUGCGCAGCACCCCAUGCCACACUCAGAGGAGCCUCCCACAGCUUUCUCUUGCUCCACUUAGUGUUGCUGGGCACAGCCUUGCACCAGGCAGGCUGGAAAUCCUCCAGCUGCAAUGAUUUACUCUGCUGCCUUGCUUGCUAUUUGCUUCUACAUCUCCAUGCAGUAGAUAGACAAUUGUUUUUACCUGCAGGUCAAAAAUGACUGUGAAGAGUUAAUUAGCACAAGCUAGCACUAUCUAGCAUAAGUAACCAGAGAUAUACGUUGCAGACCAUUGCAUUUCAUAAAUUGUACAUAUUGUAAGUCAGUAAAUAACUUUAGGCACUACAGUUAGUGUAGGCUGGCAAUGAUGAAUUGUAAAUAAAAAACGGUGAAUGUUU